AUUGAACGCUGGCGGCAGGCCUAACACAUGCAAGUCGAGCGGAUGAAGGGAGCUUGCUCCUGGAUUCAGCGGCGGACGGGUGAGUAAUGCCUAGGAAUCUGCCUGGUAGUGGGGGAUAACGUCCGGAAACGGGCGCUAAUACCGCAUACGUCCUGAGGGAGAAAGUGGGGGAUCUUCGGACCUCACGCUAUCAGAUGAGCCUAGGUCGGAUUAGCUAGUUGGUGGGGUAAAGGCCUACCAAGGCGACGAUCCGUAACUGGUCUGAGAGGAUGAUCAGUCACACUGGAACUGAGACACGGUCCAGACUCCUACGGGAGGCGGCAGUGGGGAAUAUUGGACAAUGGGCGAAAGCCUGAUCCAGCCAUGCCGCGUGUGUGAAGAAGGUCUUCGGAUUGUAAAGCACUUUAAGUUGGGAGGAAGGGCAGUAAGUUAAUACCUUGCUGUCUUGACGUUACCAACAGAAUAAGCACCGGCUAACUUCGUG
This 484-nucleotide ribosomal RNA is filed under the name uncultured bacterium. Its description in RNAcentral is "partial 16S ribosomal RNA". It matches the Rfam family "Bacterial small subunit ribosomal RNA", at positions 30 to 507 of the family's 1533-position model. The record is from RNAcentral.